RNAcentral lists this ribosomal RNA (301 nucleotides) under uncultured bacterium. RNAcentral describes it as "partial 16S ribosomal RNA". It matches the Rfam family "Bacterial small subunit ribosomal RNA", at positions 509 to 807 of the family's 1533-position model. The record is from RNAcentral.
CAGUCGCCGCGGUAAUACGGAGGGUGCAAGCGUUAAUCGGAAUUACUGGGCGUAAAGCGCACGCAGGCGGUUUGUUAAGUCAGAUGUGAAAUCCCCGAGCUUAACUUGGGAACUGCAUUUGAAACUGGCAAGCUAGAGUCUUGUAGAGGGGGGUAGAAUUCCAGGUGUAGCGGUGAAAUGCGUAGAGAUCCGGAGGAAUACCGGUGGCGAAGGCGGCCCCCUGGACAAAGACUGACGCUCAGGUGCGAAAGCGUGGGGAGCAAACAGGAUUAGAUACCCGCGUAGUCCCUGUCUCUUAUAC